Molecule: non-coding RNA, 2244 nt
Organism: Onthophagus taurus
Lineage: Eukaryota; Metazoa; Arthropoda; Insecta; Coleoptera; Scarabaeidae
Source: RefSeq, a predicted model, not a curated record
UAAAUGCUACACAAUUUCUAAAGAUGCCAUAUUUUUAAUUUUUGUAUUGAUGUAGCAAUUGAAAUCAGCAAAAUAAUAAUCUUAGUACUCGCAAUUUUCGUGUAACGAUAGGGCGGUUCGGUUAAGUUGGUUACAUGAAAACACCGUUACUAACGCCUCGAGAAUUGAGACGACAAAAACCGGCUGCUGAAACCGUUGAUAAAUCACGUUCAGCGUCUGGGUUGCCCAUGUCAAGGGUGGCCUGAGGAAGCCGGAAAUCUCCGAGAAACCACCCGCCACUAUUCGACCUGGAUGAGUAAUCAAGCCUGAAUAAAUUAUGGUCUUGGACAAUGGGAUGAUACCACCGAAGAGCCGACGACGUAACGAAGGACCUUCAUAAGGGUUUUUUGUACGAUUUACAAGAAGACCGGUGUCCGUACUUAGACGGAAAACCGUAGAUCUUUUUCUUUCGCCGACUUUCGUUUUGUUGCGGUAAUAAAUUAUUGGAUGAAUUUUAUUACAGACAUUAAGUUACAAUUUCAAAACGAUGAAAUUGAUUCCGGAUAUAAAAAGUUCGGCGUAAACUUAAUAACCCAAUAACUUCAUUUGUUCUCUCUUCGAGAGAAUCUUGAAAAGUCGUCCCGUUUAGAACUUAAUUAACAAAAAAGGAUUCAAAUAGUUUAUUCCAAUGCGUUUCAUCAAGAAAGACGUUAUCGAUUUAAAAUAUAAGAGGCACGGUGGUUGGUUCAUCCAAUUACGAGAUUACGUGAUUAAGUGAGUAAUCAACUUAAUUGAUGAUGCAGUAAAGACUGGAUUCAUUACGUUGAAAAAAUUUCUAUAUAAUUUCCUUGCAAAGUCAUCGAAUAAACUGUUACUGCUUCAAGUUGUUUAACAUUCGCUGAGAAAUUCUCCGUUUUAUUUAACUUUGUGUUCCGUAUUUUCCGAAGGAAAAUAAUUUCAUUCUGUACUACAAAGAAUAUUGUUUAUUUUUUAUUAUAAAACUACUUUUGUGUAGAUAAACCUUUCCCACAGGCUUUUAUAGAUAUGAAACGAAUGCCUCCACAAACGGUAAAGUCAAAUAAAAUGUAACACAGAACUGCCUCGAUAGGAAAUUGUCAACCACAUCGUUCGAUACAACUAAUUUUCAAUAAUUCGUCCUCGAACGAGUCAUUUGAAAUGCAAGUCAGCGCAAAAUGGACGUGUUACCGCACUGGGUAAACCAUCAAUUCAUGCGUUCUAAAAUAUCUCGGACGGCAAUAAUUCAAAAUGGGUCGGUUAGUUUAGAACGUGAAUAUCAAAUAUUCAGACGUCGAUGUGGGUUCUCGCUUUCCACACAGAAAACACGACAGCUCUACGGGUGUUAAAUGAUACCCGUACAGUUUCCGGUUGUUGGGGGUUUCUUUGAAUUGCGCAGUUAACCCUAGAUGCCGUGAAUAAGUAAUCUAGACGACCUUGUUGAGGAUAAUUACUACAUUGCGGCGAUAUUCAUCCAUAAUUGAUUGCAUACGAUGGUCUUAACGAGUUUAUUAUGGAUAUUGAUCGGCAGUAUGUACGAUAAAUUUGUUUAGGUGAAGAGGGGUUUGAUAUGACAUCAAACACACGCGGCAUGUGAAACUACCUACAGUAAUUUGAAGUUAAAUUGACUCUUGAUAUCAGCUUGAAACUUAUUUGAAUUUACUAUUCGAUAAAUUAAUAUUGGUUAAUAAUUUAGCGAGUUUAGCCUCAAAAAGGAAAGUUUAAAUUACAGGUUUCUAUUUUUAAAUUCGUUAUUUGAGAGAGAGCGAAACGCCAAUAAAGACAGAUGUCAAACUAUUAUGUUUACGUUAAGAAACUACUAAAGAUUUAAGUCUGUCAAUAAUAAUCGAUAGAUUCUUAAUUAAAAUGAAAGUAAUAUUGUUAUCGCGUAAUUUUGAUUCUUCAACUGACUUGUUAUGUGUAACUCAAUUCGAUUGGAAGGUCCCUCUUAGGAAUGGCAAAUAGACAGAAAUCCGGAAAGCUUCGGUUCGGAUUAUUAUUCUUCAAUUGGAUCUUGUAAAUUUUUAAGUCAAAAAGAAAUCUUGAUUUGACGUUAAAUCUGCAUUGCAAUUAUCGAAGAACCAAUUUAAGCCGUCCAUUGGAGGUUUCAAGAUUCUCCAACCACAAAAGAAGUUUGAAUUUAACAAAUUUUAAAUCCAAUUUUAAAGUUAAUCCUUAUAAGUGACAAGAAACUCUACCCUACCUGAAGAUUAUCUGGGCUCUUAGCGGUGACGGCAAAGAGAUGAGGGU